UCAGAACACACCUGCGACUGCUAAGAUGGCAAGUGAACUCAGGUUGCUGGCUGCUUCUUCUGAAAUCAGUCCUGCAGAAAAUACAAAGUAAGAGGUUUGCUUUGGAACAGUUGUUGCCUUUGGCUUCACAGUAAAACUCAUGGCAACAUCCUAGACCGCUGUGGAUGGUAUCUUCAGAGGCUGUUUUAAGGAGCUGCAAUAUGUUGCUUCUAACAACUGCAUAAUACUCAAUUAUUUUAUCUGCUGCAUCCUACUAUAUACUUUACCAAUGCUGUA
This 276-nucleotide long non-coding RNA is filed under the name Homo sapiens (human). RNAcentral describes it as "HSALNT0375587". Lineage: Eukaryota; Metazoa; Chordata; Mammalia; Primates; Hominidae. The record is from RNAcentral.